GCCCAGGUGGUGGAAUUGGUAGACACGCUGGUCUUAGGAACCAGUGGCGAAAGUCGUAAGAGUUCGAGUCUCUUCCUGGGCACCA
This 85-nucleotide transfer RNA is filed under the name Candidatus Peregrinibacteria bacterium. RNAcentral's name for it is "tRNA-Leu". It matches the Rfam family "tRNA". From Rfam's summary of the family: Transfer RNA (tRNA) molecules are approximately 80 nucleotides in length. RNAcentral also lists the same sequence under 1 other name. Lineage: Bacteria; Candidatus Peregrinibacteriota. The record is from RNAcentral.